CAGCCAAUCUCUCCCCGCGAGGGCGGAGGCGCCGAAAUCAAAGCGAGAGCGCCUCGGCCUCUCCAGCUGUCCGCGGCCUCUGAGCCCAAGUCUGCACGUAUUCAUCCAGAUGGCCUGAAGUAACUGAAGAUUCACAAAAGAAGUGAAAAUGGCCUGUUCCUGCCUUAACUGAUGACAUUCCACCAUUGUGAUUUGUUCCUGCCCCACCUUAACUGAGCGAUUAACCUUGUGAAAUUCCUUCUCCUGGCUCAGAACCUCCCCCACUGAGCACCUUGUGACCCCCACCCCAGCCUGCCAGAGAACAACACCCUUUGACUGUAAUUUUGCUUUACCUACCCAAAUCCUAUAAAACGGCCCCACCCCUAUUUCCCUUUGCUGACUCUCUUUUCCGACUCAGCCCGCCUGCACCCAGGUGAUUAAAAAGCUUUAUUGCUCACACAAAGUGAGUUUGGUGGUCUCUUCACAUGGACGCGUGUGAAAAUUGUGUAUAAAUUACCUGAGGGUUGGUAAUUCAUAAAGAAAAAAGGUUUAUUUGGCUCAUGGUUCUGCAGGCUAAACAAAAAGCCUAGAGCCAGCAUCUGCUUCUGGUGAGGGACUCAGGAAACUUCCCCAAAUGGCAGAGGGUGAAUGGGAGCUGGCAUGUGCAGAGAUCACACUGGAAGAGAGCAGAAGUGAGAGAGAGAAAGAGGGAAGGUGCUAGGCUGUUUUUAACAAUGAGUUCUUGGGAGAACUCUCACAGGAGCCAAUACAAUGAGAACUUCUCAUUACCCAGAGGACAGCACCAAGCCCUUCAUGAGGGAUCGGCCUCCGUGAUCCAAACACCUUCCACCAGGCCCCACCUCUAACAUUGGAGAAUCAGAUUUCACCAUGAGGUUUGGAUGGUCAGAUAUCCAAACUAUAGCAACAAUUAUGUUAUCUGUAAAUAGUGAGAGUUUUCUUUCUUUCUUUUCACUCCAUAUGUUUGUAAUUGCUUUUCUUGUCUAUUGCACUGACAAGAACUCCCAGCACUAUAUUGAAUAAAAGUGGUGAGAGCGAACACCCUUGCCUUGCUCCCAGUCUUAUGAGAAGAGCAUUCAGUCUUCUCUCACCAUUAAGUAUAUUAGCCGUAAGUUUUUUGUAAUCCGGUUUAUCAAGAUGAGGAAGUUCCCCUCUAUUCCUGUUUAUCUGAGUUUUUAAUCAUGAAUGAAUGUUGGAAUUUGUAAGAUGCUUUUUUUGUUUUUUUUUUUU
RNAcentral lists this long non-coding RNA (1227 nucleotides) under Homo sapiens (human). RNAcentral's name for it is "HSALNT0373288". Lineage: Eukaryota; Metazoa; Chordata; Mammalia; Primates; Hominidae. The record is from RNAcentral.